This is a long non-coding RNA of Mauremys reevesii (Reeves's turtle), 951 nucleotides long. RefSeq lists it as uncharacterized. The transcript is spliced from 4 exons. The record is from RefSeq and is a predicted model, not a curated record. Lineage: Eukaryota; Metazoa; Chordata; Testudines; Geoemydidae.
UUUUAAACAAUCAAGCUCAGCUCAGACAUUUUGAUUUAAACCAAUGAGAAGACACAGUAGAUCCUGUCGGCGGCAACACGGUUUCCCUGCUCUGAAAAGCAGCUGGUGUCCUCAUCUACGCAACUUUUGCUAACAGGAUCACAUUGUCCGUGUCCAGGUUGAAGGCGGCGGCGAGCCAGGGGAAGAGGGACAGGUAGAGGAGCGUCUGCCCGGGGGCCAUCUGCUCCGGCCUGGGACCGAGCGGGAACCUGCUGCUUGUGCCCUUCGCCCGACUACGGCUGCCGCUCCCCUCGCUGCCACCCGCUGAAUGAGCCCGUUGUUCUCCUGAGACUCCCAGGCUUUGCACGAAGUGACGAAGAGAGGCGAGCCCCGCCUCCCCCAGCCACGCCGGCCCCGGCCCUCAGCCUCGCCUAGCCCUGCCCUGCCAAUCUUCCAGCCCCUGAACAGCACCACGAGGCUCCUCCAGCCCGGAAAGGCGCCACGAAUCCUAAUGUAGACACCCUGGCCCAGAUCUACACUGGGAUUUAGGCGUCGCAAUCACAAGAACACGCUGAAAUCCACAAAGCCUGAGUUCGAUGCAUAGGCUCCCUAUAAAUAAAUGAGGAGAGAUGGGCACCUUACAGUGAGAUCUACAAAAGCCAACAUGCUAGAACAAGCAUGCUCAAAAUGUGACCCACCGAGUCCUGAAAUACAGUCUGUGGAUGCCAGUCAAGUGACUCUAUGCCUACAUGAUCCCUUCAGAGGACCAAUUUGACUUCCAAAGACACAUGAACAAAAGCUGAAAUCACUGGCAAACCCCUCACUACUUAAAUGGUACAUUUACUACAGGUAAAAUCGUAUGGUUACUAUUACCCUGCCCCCCACUCACACUUUUUGGUACAAAGCUAAACAAACUCACAAUGUCCCCAAGUUUGGGCCACCCUGCUUGGUGUAACACUAGCAUGCUGACAU